RNAcentral lists this ribosomal RNA (497 nucleotides) under uncultured bacterium. RNAcentral's name for it is "partial 16S ribosomal RNA". It matches the Rfam family "Bacterial small subunit ribosomal RNA", at positions 28 to 507 of the family's 1533-position model. The record is from RNAcentral.
GAUGAACGCUGGCGGCGUGCCUAAUACAUGCAAGUCGAGCGAACAGACGAGGAGCUUGCUCCUCUGACGUUAGCGGCGGACGGGUGAGUAACACGUGGAUAACCUACCUAUAAGACUGGGAUAACUUCGGGAAACCGGAGCUAAUACCGGAUAAUAUAUUGAACCGCAUGGUUCAAUAGUGAAAGACGGUUUUGCUGUCACUUAUAGAUGGAUCCGCGCCGCAUUAGCUAGUUGGUAAGGUAACGGCUUACCAAGGCGACGAUGCGUAGCCGACCUGAGAGGGUGAUCGGCCACACUGGAACUGGGACACGGUCCAGACUCCUACGGGAGGAAGCAGUAGGGAAUCUUCCGCAAUGGGCGAAAGCCUGACGGAGCAACGCCGCGUGAGUGAUGAAGGUCUUCGGAUCGUAAAACUCUGUUAUUAGGGAAGAACAAAUGUGUAAGUAACUAUGCACGUCUUGACGGUACCUAAUCAGAAAGCCACGGCUAACUACGUG